This 848-nucleotide ribosomal RNA is filed under the name Halodesulfovibrio marinisediminis. RNAcentral describes it as "bacterial SSU rRNA". It matches the Rfam family "Bacterial small subunit ribosomal RNA", at positions 66 to 907 of the family's 1533-position model. Lineage: Bacteria; Pseudomonadati; Thermodesulfobacteriota; Desulfovibrionia; Desulfovibrionales; Desulfovibrionaceae. The record is from RNAcentral.
ACGCGAAAGUUUCCUUCGGAAAUGAGUAGAGUGGCGCACGGGUGAGUAACGCGUGGAUUAUCUACCUAUUGGUACGGGACAACAGUUGGAAACGACUGCUAAUACCGUAUAAGCUGGAAACGGGAAAGGGGGCCUCUUCUUGAAAGCUCUCGCCAGUAGAUGAGUCCGCGUUUCAUUAGCUAGACGGUGGGGUAACGGCCUACCGUGGCAACGAUGAAUAGCAGGCCUGAGAGGGUGGCCUGCCACACUGGGACUGGAACACGGCCCAGACUCCUACGGGAGGCAGCAGUGGGGAAUAUUGCGCAAUGGACGAAAGUCUGACGCAGCGACGCCGCGUGGAGGAUGAAGGUUUUCGGAUCGUAAACUCCUGUCAAGAGGGAAGAAACCUAUUAAGAUUAAUACUCUUGGUAAUUGACGGUACCUCUAGAGGAAGCACCGGCUAAUUCAGUGCCAGCAGCCGCGGUAAUACUGAAGGUGCAAGCGUUAAUCGGAAUCACUGGGCGUAAAGCGCUCGUAGGUGGCUUUGUAAGUCAGGUGUGAAAGCCCACGGCUCAACCGUGGAAUUGCACUUGAUACUGCAUCGCUAGAGUAUAGGAGAGGGAAGUGGAAUUUCUGGUGUAGGAGUGAAAUCCGUAGAGAUCAGAAGGAACACCCGUGGCGAAGGCGACUUCCUGGACUAUUACUGACACUGAGGAGCGAAAGCGUGGGGAGCAAACAGGAUUAGAUACCCUGGUAGUCCACGCCGUAAACGAUGGGUACUAGGUGUUGGGGGCUUGACCCUCGGUGCCGUAGUUAACGCGUUAAGUACCCCGCCUGGGGAGUACGGUCGCAAGGCUGAAACUCAAAGA